RNAcentral lists this long non-coding RNA (355 nucleotides) under Homo sapiens (human). RNAcentral describes it as "non-protein coding lnc-GPR3-3:1". Lineage: Eukaryota; Metazoa; Chordata; Mammalia; Primates; Hominidae. The record is from RNAcentral.
AACAACAGGAUAACUAUCAGGAUCAGGAAGUUCAUGACCAAUACUUCAGUGGAAAUGAUGGUCUUCCGUGUCCUUCACCCUGGGAAGACAACAAUACCUAAGACAGAAAACUAGUCAAAAAGUAGAAGACCACUCUGGAUUUCAUCUUUGUAUUUAGAACCCAUUUUGGGGGUGUUAAGACAACUGGCUUGGUUAUGAUUUAUGAUUCCUUGGAUUAUGCAAAGAAAAAUUAAUCCAAACACAGACUUGCAAGACAUAAAAGAAAAAGACCUCAAGAAAACAGCUAAAGGAACUCAAGAACAGAAUGACGACAGCCAGGGAGUCACAAGAGUGUGGUGCUGGUGCUGGCAAACAG